RNAcentral lists this ribosomal RNA (253 nucleotides) under uncultured bacterium. RNAcentral's name for it is "partial 16S ribosomal RNA". It matches the Rfam family "Bacterial small subunit ribosomal RNA", at positions 524 to 776 of the family's 1533-position model. The record is from RNAcentral.
UACGGAGGGUGCAAGCGUUAUCCGGAUUCACUGGGUUUAAAGGGUGCGUAGGUGGUUUUGUAAGUCAGUGGUGAAAGCCCGGAGCUUAACUCCGGAACUGCCAUUGAUACUGCUUAACUUGAAUCAACUUGAGGUGGAUGGAAUAUUACAUGUAGCGGUGAAAUGCUUAGAUAUGUAAUAGAACACCGAUUGCGAAGGCAGCUCACUAAAGUGUAACUGACGCUGAGGCACGAAAGCGUGGGGAUCAAACAGG